AUGGACGGCGACGGCGACGGCAACGGCAUGUGCUUCCCUUACGACGUGCUCCUCCACAUCCUCCGCGGCCUUCCCUGCCGUGCUCUCGCCGAGUCCCGGCGUGUCUGUCGUGCAUGGCGCUCGAUCGUCGACACCCACAAGCUCCUCCUUCCUCACUUUUUUCCUCGAGGCUCCUUCCCCGGCAUCUUCACCAGGAACUAUGGAUCCAACAAUGAAUCCUCCUUCUUCGCCCCGCCAGUGCCGGCGCGUUCGGAGCACCUACUACGUGGAAGUCAUGAUGGACCUGUAUUUCAAUGUCCUCUGUUUCGGCAUCACAAGUUCUCGAUGCUCCACUACUGCAAUGGCCUCCUUCUCCUUGAGAAGGAUGGUAAUUGUUACGUCUGUAACCCGGCGACAAUAAGGUGCGCUGAAUUGCCACCGCCAAUGAAGGAGGGUCGGUGGUGGUACCACGAAUUCAUGUUCCUCGCCUUCGACCCGGCCGUAUCUCCUCACUAUGAGGUAUUCCUCCUUCCAAGAUAUAGCGAAGAAAAGAUCCAACCAAACAAGGAAGUGGAGCAAAAAGAGAUGCAUGUCCAUGUGCGAGGGGUCGACGAGCAAGAUAAGGUGGUUUCUGUAUUGAUGAUCUCGUCACAAACCAAUCAAUGGGCGAGCCGGGAGUUUGUGCCAGGGCGUUGUGCCCCUGGGCCCCUCUAUCACAUGGUGACUGCGCCACACCCUAGGCAUGUGCGGAUAUGGAAGUCAGUUGAGUACUGGCAGGGCUCGCUCUAUGUACAUUGCCAGAACAACAUCGUUAUGAUCCUUCGCAACUUGAAUGGGUUGUAUGACAUGGCUCAGCUGCCGGGAAAAGCCUACGAUGACAAAGAAUAUCUAGGUCUUUCCGAGCUGCUCGACAGGUCCAUCUUAGCCAGCUACGACGGAGGAGUUCGCUAUGUGGCGCUCGACAAGUUCCAACUACAUGUAUGGAGAUUAACAGAAUCAGCCGCUGGCCAGAUUGGGUGGAUGCUAGAACAUGUGGCUGACCUUACUCCUUAUAAUCAUAAAGUACAACAGUUCAUGGAGCCUAGAGUGUCGUGGGAGGCGGUCGAAAGCAACAAAGCCUUACUUAGCUUGUUCGAACAAUGUAACUUGAAGGAAUUCGUAGAUGACGAGGAGGAUGACCAGAGUGACACUAUUGAUAAUAGUGAUAGCGGCACUACUGACAAUAGUGAUAGGGACACUAAAGAUGAUGAAGAAGGAAUACAUGAGGCAGAUGGAUUUGAUGGCACAACAGAUGAUGGUGACAGUCAUGGUAGUAGUGAUGAUGCAUGCGAACAUGAAGAUGAAGAUGGGGAUGAAGAUGAAGAUGAAGAAGGAGAAUUCAAAAGUGAAGAUGGUCUAAAAAACUCUUGGGACUCAGAUGAGGACAACUUCAUUGACCUGGAUGAAAGUGUCGCACACCUCGGGGACAAGGAGUAUGGGCGUUACAGAAUUAUAGGACUACAUCCACAUAAGGAAGUGGUGCUCUUCCUAACCUAUAGCGGCGUCGUGGCAUAUCAUCUUGACACCUCGAGGAUGCAAUAUUUAGGAUGGUGGCUUGUGAGAAACACACAUUCAAAUUUUAAUGGCAUUGGCGCUGCGUUCCCUUACCGCCCAUGCUAUGUCGACGCACUUCCGACGACUAAACUACCCUCCAGUUUUUGUGUAUCAUAUCAUCGUUGGUGA
This 1701-nucleotide ribosomal RNA is filed under the name Triticum aestivum (bread wheat). RNAcentral's name for it is "partial small subunit ribosomal RNA". Lineage: Eukaryota; Viridiplantae; Streptophyta; Magnoliopsida; Poales; Poaceae. The record is from RNAcentral.